UCAAACUUGGUCAUUUAGAGGAAGUAAAAGUCGUAACAAGGUUUCCGUAGGUGAACCUGCGGAAGGAUCAUUAACGAAUUUUGAAGAGGGUUGAUGCUGGCUUAAUCGCAUGUGCUCGCCUUUGACAUUCUUAUUAUCCAUACACCUGUGCACCUCUGAGAGGGUAUUUUCGUUCGUUCGGGAAUCCCUCUCUUAUUUACAAAACCUUUCUUAUAACAUCGAAUGUUGGUUGUGCCUUAUAGGCCUCUAAUAAAUUACAACUUUUAACAACGGAUCUCUUGGCUCUCGCAUCGAUGAAGAACGCAGC
This 307-nucleotide unclassified non-coding RNA is filed under the name uncultured fungus. RNAcentral describes it as "partial contains small subunit ribosomal RNA, internal transcribed spacer 1, and 5.8S ribosomal RNA". The stretch from base 1 to 73 matches the Rfam family "Eukaryotic small subunit ribosomal RNA", at positions 1759 to 1831 of the family's 1831-position model. The record is from RNAcentral. Lineage: Eukaryota; Fungi.